UGAACUCAUUGUCACCACAACAAGCCCCUAUGAGCAAGCAGCAUUUGGUUCUAAAACUGAUUGGCGUGUGACAGCAAUCUCAGUGACAAAUCUAUAUCUUAGAGUCAAUCAUAUUUAUGUGAACACUGAGGACAUUAAGGAGACAGGCUACACAUACAUCAUGCCCAAGAACAUUUUGAAGAAGUUUAUUUGCAUAGCAGAUCUUCGGACUCAAA
Magnolia sinica is the source of this 215-nucleotide long non-coding RNA. RefSeq lists it as uncharacterized. The transcript is spliced from 2 exons. The record is from RefSeq and is a predicted model, not a curated record. Lineage: Eukaryota; Viridiplantae; Streptophyta; Magnoliopsida; Magnoliales; Magnoliaceae.